This 449-nucleotide ribosomal RNA is filed under the name uncultured bacterium. RNAcentral describes it as "partial 16S ribosomal RNA". It matches the Rfam family "Bacterial small subunit ribosomal RNA", at positions 29 to 523 of the family's 1533-position model. The record is from RNAcentral.
AACGAACGCUGGCGGCAUGCCUAACACAUGCAAGUCGAACGAGACCUUCGGGUCUAGUGGCGCACGGGUGCGUAACGCGUGGGAAUCUACCCUUGGGUUCGGAAUAACAGUUAGAAAUGACUGCUAAUACCGGAUGAUGACGUAAGUCCAAAGAUUUAUCGCCCAAGGAUGAGCCCGCGUAAGAUUAGCUUGUUGGUGGGGUAAUGGCCUACCAAGGCGAAGAUCUUUAGCUGGUCUGAGAGGAUGAUCAGCCACACUGGGACUGAGACACGGCCAAGACUCCUACGGGAGGCAGCAGUGGGGAAUAUUGGACAAUGGGCGAAAGCCUGAUCCAGCAAUGCCGCGUGAGUGAUGAAGGCCUUAGGGUUGUAAAGCUCUUUUACCAGGGAUGAUAAUGACAGUACCUGGAGAAUAAGCUCCGGCUAACUCCGUGCCAGCAGCCGCCGUAA